Molecule: ribosomal RNA, 274 nt
Filed under: uncultured bacterium
Lineage: Bacteria
Description: partial 16S ribosomal RNA
Rfam family: Bacterial small subunit ribosomal RNA
Source: RNAcentral
AUACGGAGGGUGCAAGCGUUAAUCGGAAUUACUGGGCGUAAAGCGCGCGUAGGCGGCUUGUAAAGUUGGAUGUGAAAGCCCUAGGCUCAACCUGGGAACUGCAUUCAAAACUGGCAGGCUAGAGUACAGUAGAGGUGAGUGGAAUUUCCAGUGUAGCGGUGAAAUGCGUAGAUAUUGGAAGGAACAUCAGUGGCGAAGGCGACUCACUGGGCUGAUACUGACGCUGAGGUGCGAAAGCGUGGGGAGCAAACGGGAUUAGAAACCCCAGUAGUCC